GGAGAGGUCGCAUAGUGGUCUAUUGCGCCCGCUUGGAAAGCGGGUAGGCCUGCAAGGGUCUCGGGGGUUCGAAUCCCCCCCUCUCCGCCA
RNAcentral lists this transfer RNA (90 nucleotides) under Candidatus Peregrinibacteria bacterium CG10_big_fil_rev_8_21_14_0_10_55_24. RNAcentral's name for it is "tRNA-Ser". It matches the Rfam family "tRNA". Rfam says of the family: Transfer RNA (tRNA) molecules are approximately 80 nucleotides in length. Their secondary structure includes four short double-helical elements and three loops (D, anti-codon, and T loops). The record is from RNAcentral. Lineage: Bacteria; Candidatus Peregrinibacteriota.